Molecule: long non-coding RNA, 447 nt
Filed under: Ursus maritimus (polar bear)
Lineage: Eukaryota; Metazoa; Chordata; Mammalia; Carnivora; Ursidae
Description: lncRNA (ENSUMAG00000014680.1)
Source: RNAcentral
CACCGAAAGGAGCAGCAGGAGCGUGGUCUGCUGGGACGACAGCGCACUGGGCUGCAGGGGAGCGUCGGGACCGAGGCUGGUGGCCAUGCUGGAGAGAGAAGGGCGAAGGCGUGACGCUCAGCUAUCAAGAGGUGAAGCCAGAAUUCGAACCCCGAGUCCCAUUCCAGAUCCAUCAUACACGUUUAUGUGGAGGGAAAUCCUCAGAUGAAGUGAGGGCUCUGAGGCCCACGAAGAAGAAAUAGUGGGAUCGCCUUUGCAGUAAAAUCGGAUGAGAGAGGCCUGUGUACUACGCCUCAUAGCUGACCUUGAAAUACGUGGUUCGAUGUUAAAGAAGCCUAAAGAGGUAUCUGAAAAUCAGACCUUGUGAGAGACUGAAACCAACAAUAACCAAUCUGACCUGAUAAGAAAAUGCUUUUUGUAGAAGUCUCCAUUCAGUAGUGUUUGAGA